This 97-nucleotide non-coding RNA is filed under the name Lyngbya confervoides. RNAcentral's name for it is "TPP sequence". It matches the Rfam family "TPP riboswitch aptamer (THI element)". Rfam says of the family: Vitamin B(1) in its active form thiamin pyrophosphate (TPP) is an essential coenzyme that is synthesised by coupling of pyrimidine and thiazole moieties in bacteria. The previously detected thiamin-regulatory element, thi box was extended, resulting in a new, highly conserved RNA secondary structure, the THI element, which is widely distributed in eubacteria and also occurs in some archaea. Analysis of operon structures identified a large number of new candidate thiamin-regulated genes, mostly transporters, in various prokaryotic organisms. Lineage: Bacteria; Bacillati; Cyanobacteriota; Cyanophyceae; Oscillatoriales; Microcoleaceae. RNAcentral also lists the same sequence under 1 other name. The record is from RNAcentral.
CCACCAAGCUAGGGGUGUCCGAGCAAAUCGGGCUGAGAUUAUACCCUCAGAACCUGACCUGGUUAAUACCAGCGGAGGGAAGCGUUGAUUGAGGUUA